ACGGCAGCAUAGAGAGCUUGCUCUCUGAUGGCGAGUGGCGAACGGGUGAGUAAUAUAUCGGAACGUGCCUAGUAAUGGGGAAUAACUAGCUGAAAGGUUAGCUAAUGCCGCAUACGACCUACGGGUGAAAGCAGGGGAUCUUCGGACCUUGCGUUAUUAGAGCGGCCGAUAUCUGAUUAGCUUGUUGGUGGGGUAAUGGCCUACCAAGGCGACGAUCAGUAGCUGGUCUGAGAGGACGAUCAGCCACACUGGAACUGAGACACGGUCCAGACUCCUACGGGAGGCAGCAGUGGGGAAUUUUGGACAAUGGGGGCAACCCUGAUCCAGCCAUUCCGCGUGAGUGAAGAAGGCCUUCGGGUUGUAAAGCUCUUUCGCAAGAGAAGAAAACUUGCUAUCUAAUAAAUAGUAAGCAUGACGGUAUCUUGACAAGAAGCACCGGCUAA
This 443-nucleotide ribosomal RNA is filed under the name uncultured bacterium. RNAcentral's name for it is "bacterial SSU rRNA". It matches the Rfam family "Bacterial small subunit ribosomal RNA", at positions 66 to 500 of the family's 1533-position model. The record is from RNAcentral.